GAUGAACGCUGGCGGCGUGCUUAACACAUGCCAGUCGAGCGAGAAGUUUUGAAAAGAUUCUUCGGAUGAAAUUUAAAAUGGAAAGCGGCGGACGGGUGAGUAACGCGUAGGCAACCUGCCCCAUACAAAGGGAUAGCAUUUGGAAACGAAUAUUAAUACCUUAUGAAACUUAACUAGUGCAUGCUAGGUAGGUCAAAGAUUUAUCGGUAUGGGAUGGGCCUGCGUCUGAUUAGCUAGUUGGUGAGGUAACGGCUCACCAAGGCGACGAUCAGUAGCCGACCUGAGAGGGUGGACGGCCACAUAGAAACUGAGGCGCGGUCCAAACUCCUACGGGAGGCAGCAGUGGGGAAUGUUACACAAUGAUGGAAACCCUGAUGCAGCAACGCCGCGUGAACGAUGGAGGCCUUUGGGUCGUAAAGUUCUGUUCUAGGUGAUGAAAACUGACAGUAACCUAGAAGAAAGCCCCGGCUAACUCCGUG
This 479-nucleotide ribosomal RNA is filed under the name uncultured bacterium. RNAcentral describes it as "partial 16S ribosomal RNA". It matches the Rfam family "Bacterial small subunit ribosomal RNA", at positions 28 to 507 of the family's 1533-position model. The record is from RNAcentral.